AUGUCAUACCAGACCCUUGAGCUGACGUUGAUCUCGGCGAGCGAUCUUAAGAAGGUGUCAUUCUUCUCUCGCAUGCGCGUCUAUGCCGUUGCCUCCAUCUCCGGGGCCAACUCCUGGAUGCCUACCCAUGGCACCCAAGUCGACCACAACAAUGGCCAAAAUCCCACAUGGAAUGCCAUGCUCCAUUUGCCGAUCCCUGCAUGUGUUGAUACUCGCGGGCUCGCCCUCCAUGUGUUGCUACGCUCGGAGGCGCUCCUCUUCGGCCACCAUGACGUUGGUGAAGUAUUUGUGCCCCUUAAUGAUCUUUUGGCAGGCACAAAUAACACUAAUGACCCAAAGACCAUGAGCUACCAAGUGCGGCGACCCUCGUCUGGCCGUGCCCACGGCGUUCUCUACUUGAGCUACAAGUUCACCGGCAUCAAAGCUGCUUCCGCAAGCGCUACAGAUAACAAACAAGGGCAGUAUGUCAAGUACUCUGGGGGCUCUGAGGUGGCAAUGCCCAAACCCAUGGUGCCCGUCACCGCAUACCCACCACCGCAUGCCACAUUUUCAUACCCACCGGGUGUACCUUACGGUGCACCAAACGCAGUGUAUCCACCACAGCCAUAUCCACCACCGUACAUGUAUAAUACUGCUCCAGCACCGGCAACAAUGUAUGGGUAUGCGCCAGCAACGACUAUGGCUGCACCGGCAAGGCAUGCGGGAGGGAUGGGAAUGGGCCUAGGCCUCGGGCUCCUCGGUGGCGUGGUUGGCGGGAUGAUGCUCGGUGACUUGGAGUCUGAUGCCGCCUACGACGCUGGGUUCAAUGAUGGGAUGAGUUUUUAG
This 825-nucleotide ribosomal RNA is filed under the name Triticum aestivum (bread wheat). Its description in RNAcentral is "partial small subunit ribosomal RNA". Lineage: Eukaryota; Viridiplantae; Streptophyta; Magnoliopsida; Poales; Poaceae. The record is from RNAcentral.